AUUGAACGCUGGCGGCAUGCCUUACACAUGCAAGUCGAACGGUAACAGGUCUUCGGAUGCUGACGAGUGGCGAACGGGUGAGUAAUAUAUCGGAACGUGCCCGAUCGUGGGGGAUAACGAGGCGAAAGCUUUGCUAAUACCGCAUACGAUCUACGGAUGAAAGCGGGGGAUCUUCGGACCUCGCGCGGACGGAGCGGCCGAUGGCAGAUUAGGUAGUUGGUGGGAUAAAAGCUUACCAAGCCGACGAUCUGUAGCUGGUCUGAGAGGAUGAUCAGCCACACUGGGACUGAGACACGGCCCAGACUCCUACGGGAGGCAGCAGUGGGGAAUUUUGGACAAUGGGCGAAAGCCUGAUCCAGCCAUGCCGCGUGCAGGAUGAAGGCCUUCGGGUUGUAAACUGCUUUUGUACGGAACGAAAAGCCUCUUUCUAAUAAAGAGGGGUCAUGACGGUACCGUAAGAAUAAGCACCGGCUAACUACGUG
Molecule: ribosomal RNA, 482 nt
Filed under: uncultured bacterium
Lineage: Bacteria
Description: partial 16S ribosomal RNA
Rfam family: Bacterial small subunit ribosomal RNA
Source: RNAcentral